GAUGCUAAGCUCAUGUCUUGACCAUCUUUUUCACAAAAAAAAUCAAAAUCCUUCCUCUAGCGUCAAUCUGUUGCUGCAAUGCUCAAAAUCUAGAAUAAGAUGACUUGAAUCGAGUGAGGCUGGGCUGGAAUGAUCCAUGCGAUCCGAUGAAAAUUUUUUCAAUCUGCAAAACCAAUCAAGAAAUCGGAUGAAAAUCCUCUGGUUCUUGACCCUCCGAUAUGCUUAAGUCAGUUUGAGCCUUGAGAAUGGAGAUAGAAAAGAGUGGAAGAGCAAGAGAGAUUGGAUGGAAUUGGAGGAGAACUAGGUAGAAGCCAAAAGUUUGGU
This 324-nucleotide long non-coding RNA is filed under the name Elaeis guineensis (African oil palm). RNAcentral's name for it is "long non-coding RNA (EGUI_LNC040959)". The record is from RNAcentral. Lineage: Eukaryota; Viridiplantae; Streptophyta; Magnoliopsida; Arecales; Arecaceae.